RNAcentral lists this ribosomal RNA (468 nucleotides) under uncultured bacterium. RNAcentral describes it as "partial 16S ribosomal RNA". It matches the Rfam family "Bacterial small subunit ribosomal RNA", at positions 28 to 507 of the family's 1533-position model. The record is from RNAcentral.
GACGAACGCUGGCGGCGUGCUUAACACAUGCAAGUCGAACGGAAAGGCCCUGCUUUUGUGGGGUGCUCGAGUGGCGAACGGGUGAGUAACACGUGAGUAACCUGCCCUUGACUUUGGGAUAACUUCAGGAAACUGGGGCUAAUACCGGAUAGGAGCUCCUGCUGCAUGGUGGGGGUUGGAAAGUUUCGGCGGUUGGGGAUGGACUCGCGGCUUAUCAGCUUGUUGGUGGGGUAGUGGCUUACCAAGGCUUUGACGGGUAGACGGCCUGGGAGGGUGACCGGCCACCAUGGGACUGAGAUACGGCCCAGACGCCUACGGGAGGCAGCAGGGGGGAAUAUUGCACAAUGGGCGGAAGCCUGAGGCAGCAACGCCGCGUGCGGGAUGACGGCCUUCGAGUUGUAAACCGCUUUCGCCUGUGACGAAGCGUGAGUGACGGUAAUGGGUAAAGAAGCACCGGCUAACUACGUG